Astyanax mexicanus (Mexican tetra) is the source of this 73-nucleotide transfer RNA. It matches the Rfam family "tRNA". From Rfam's summary of the family: Transfer RNA (tRNA) molecules are approximately 80 nucleotides in length. Their secondary structure includes four short double-helical elements and three loops (D, anti-codon, and T loops). Lineage: Eukaryota; Metazoa; Chordata; Actinopteri; Characiformes; Acestrorhamphidae. The record is from Rfam.
GGCUCCAUAGCUCAGUGGAUAGAGAGCUGGUCUACGGAACUAGAGGUCGUGAGUUUGAUCCUCGCUGGAGCCU